AGUGAACGCUGGCGGUAGGCCUAACACAUGCAAGUCGAACGGCAGCACAGUAAGAGCUUGCUCUUACGGGUGGCGAGUGGCGGACGGGUGAGGAAUACAUCGGAAUCUACUUUUUCGUGGGGGAUAACGUAGGGAAACUUACGCUAAUACCGCAUACGACCUACGGGUGAAAGCAGGGGAUCUUCGGACCUUGCGCGAUUGAAUGAGCCGAUGUCGGAUUAGCUAGUGGGCGGGGUAAAGGCCCACCAAGGCGACGAUCCGUAGCUGGUCUGAGAGGAUGAUAAGCCACACUGGAACUGAGACACGGUCCAGACUCCUACGGGAGGCAGCAGUGGGGAAUAUUGGACAAUGGGCGCAAGCCUGAUCCAGCCAUACCGCGUGGGUGAAGAAGGCCUUCGGGUUGUAAAGCCCUUUUGUUCGGAAAGAAAAGCAGCAGGUUAAUACCCCGCUGUUCUGACGGUACCCAAAGAAUAAGCACCGGCUAACUUCGUG
RNAcentral lists this ribosomal RNA (492 nucleotides) under uncultured bacterium. RNAcentral describes it as "partial 16S ribosomal RNA". It matches the Rfam family "Bacterial small subunit ribosomal RNA", at positions 29 to 507 of the family's 1533-position model. The record is from RNAcentral.